CCAGGGCAACCACCCAGGUGGCCGGAGACUUGGGCCUUGCAACCCCACCCCCUGGGCCUCGGGGGAGGGGAGAGGCCACACGACCCCCAUUGGUUAAUAACUGCAUUGAUCACAGCAGGGCAGAAAAGCCUCCUUAAAGCCGGAAAGGCAAGGGAAGUGGGGAGCUUCCGGGUCUGAGAUCCCAGGGAGGCUUGGAAGGGGCUCGUAGACGCUGUCAGACCUUCCCCGAGCAUCCUUUCUCCUAACCCGGUCUGUCUCUCCACUGCAGCCCUGCAAAUAGAUUCAUCAGGACCAUUACACUCAUGUUCUUAAUGUGAAUGUCCCGAGAUAGCUGGAAGCUCUUUCCAGGUGGCAAAAAAAAAAAAAGGGAACCGGACUGUUGCAGACCGACACUGUCUCUAGCCCUGGGUUUCAUUUCAACUGCCCUGUUGCUGCCUUCAAAAGCGAGCAGGCGUGGGGCGAGGAUGCAAAAACCUUCCACAGAUGCAGAGCGUGUGGCGCUGAAGUUGUCAGAGUAGGUUUGCAUCUAUCUUCCUUGUACAAGGUUUUCACGCCAAAGGUCAAAAAAGGAACUGAAUCACGAUCACGGGAGAAGCGUCCAGCCGCAGAAGGAAAAAGCAGCUCAAAGCCACGUUUUACGCCCCGUGGUUUACAUAGGUCAGUGCCACACUCUUAAUCCAUCCGACCCGCUCCUUCUCCCACUCGGUCCACAACUCCGUUCUCUAUGCCUUCGUCUCUACUUCUGCCCUGCAAAUAGCUUCAUCUGUACCGUUUUUCUAGAUUCCGGACACCUGUGUUCAUAGACGAUAUUUGUUUUCGUCUUUCUGGCUGGCUUCACUCUAUUCUGGACUACUUAUUUCUCAUGAUCACAGCUGGAGGGAAAUGGAUGCUACGGGGAUCUGCCUUAGAAACGGACUCCAGAAAUCAGCCUCCCCAAACCGUUCCCUCUCCUCAAGGACAGUUUUCACAACCACACAGUCUGUCCUUGGAUGGAACUUCUCUCAGUUUCUCUGUCAAUACAGCUACCAGUCGUUUUAACACCUUCAGUAGCUUUUGGCUGGACUCGAAAUGGUUAUUCCUUGUUGCUCUUCAGGCACUAAGCGAUGUUUGACUCUUUGCAUAAAAGGGCCUCCCUGUCCUUCACCAACUGGCAGGGUUUGCUCAAACUCAUGUCCAUCGAGUCGGUGAUGCCAUCCAACCAGCUCAUCCUCUGUC
Molecule: long non-coding RNA, 1215 nt
Organism: Bubalus bubalis (water buffalo)
Lineage: Eukaryota; Metazoa; Chordata; Mammalia; Artiodactyla; Bovidae
Exons: 3
Source: RefSeq, a predicted model, not a curated record